AUUAGUCCUGAAUAAAGACUGGGAGUGGAUGGGUCACUACAAAAAGUAAUUUUCCUUCUGCUGAUACUCACACCUUCUUGUCAACUGUUGGAAAUGGAAGACAUCCACCUUAAUUGAAUUGGUCUCGUUAGCACUUAGACCCCAGUUGGUAGAGGCAACUUCCAUCUUUUCAUAUAUAUACUGCUUACUGUAUUUUUCACUUCAUGCAUCUGAUGAAGUGGGUUUUAGCCCAUGAAAGCUUAUGCCCAAAUAAAUGUGUUAGUCUCUAAGGUGCCACAAGGGCUCCUCGUUGUUUAAGUUUGUUUUUGUUUUCAAUAUACCUGUUGCUAUAUACUUUUAUUAGAGAACACAAGGUCAAUGUGCCUUUCAUUUGAAGUGGAAGGUGGUGAAGUUUGUUAUGGUCUUUAGUUUUUGGGAGAGUUCAUUCCACAGUCUUGGACCAGUCUCCAAAAAAGUUCUGUCUCCUGCACAGAUGAGGUUUACCCUUACUGUAGAGAGUUCCAUUCCGCCAGUGAAGCGUAACUGUUGACCUCAUUCUUCAUACCAGAAUUUUAAGUGCUCUUUAAGAUAUCUGGGGCCUUUCCCAUAGGCUUUUCUAUGGCACUCAACAUUAUAAAAUGGUGCACUUGACAAACAUUAAUGAAUUCAUUUUCAUUAUAACCUGUGAGGUAAAGUGGUAUUAUUGUCCAUAUUUUACAGAUGGAGCACUGAAGCAGAGGCAGAUUAAAGUUAAAAGUAUCCACUAAUUUUGUCUGCUCAAUUUGAGAAGUUUAGGAUCUGAUUUUUUCAGCAUACUUAGCAAGCAAUUUAUAGCACUUUAUACAUUCAAAUCACAGAUCUCAUUGAUUUCAACUGCAGCUGUGAAUACUCAGUCCCAGGUGUCUGAAGCUGGACAUCUGGAAAAUGAGGAACAUACGAUUAGUGCCUACCUGUGAAGAGUUUGGUUUAAGUUAUGUGCCUAGCAUCACAAAGGAAUUCAGGGGCAGGGGUAGAAUCAGACUUUUCAGGGAUGGUAUUCAAUUGCCUUAACCAUGAAACCAUCCUUUCUUAUCCUACAAUCCUCUGCCUCAUUCACUGCACACCUUCUAAUUUCUACCACAAAUGAGGCUGUGGUCCUAGCGAUAACUGUCUUAUUUAUUAUACAACCCUAAUUCAGUCCUUGAGCACUGACCAUCCGUGACACUGAAUGAGUCAGGGGUCCUGUGAAAAAAACACGUUUUUUGAUCAUGGAAAUAAAGACAUUAUCGUAGUGCAUAUGCAGAAGAGGGCAAAUGAAGGUUAUGCAAGCACUUAAGCAACAGAAUAACUAAUAGGAGUGGUAGGUUUUCCUCCUCUAUAUGGAUCAGCACCAGAGAGGAAUGAGGCACAUACUUUCCCAGUGGAAUUCAUAUUUUCUAACAGGACAGGAAUGGUGGGACUCAAACCUUGGGUUCAAUUCCAGGUUCUGAAAGAGAGUGUGUUCUAGUGAGCAUAUACCCUUCUUUCCUUGUUCCUCCAAGCCUAACACUUUCUGCUUGAAUCUGUUUCACUUCAGCCUCUCCAUCCACCCAAUCCAGCUCUUGCCCCCUCUGUGUUUCACUCAGGCUGUUUCUUCUCUCUUCACAAUACUUGGGCACCAGCCACAAAAGCACUGAGAGUACAGAAGAGAGAGAUUCCCUGCUCUCAGUUUGGUGACACCGCAUCUGGGAGCAGAAAUUGCAGGGUCUCCCCAGAACUGUGUGUACAGCUGUGCCCUCUUGUUCCAAUCUGUAUGGCUGUGAGGUGGCCGAAUUGCACUGCACAGAGUCUACAGUCCCCUGCCCCAGUCAGAGCUUUCUUAGGGCAGCCUCUGCAGUUCACACUUGAUGCAGAUCAUCAAAUGGCUUGAAAGAAGACAGAAGAGUCUAAUGCUUUACCAGAAGUCAGGCUGAUAACCAGGCUCACCUUUGCAUGAUCAGUAGUGUAGGACUGAGGAUGCAUCAUGAACAGGAGGUGGCACUGGAUUAUAAAACCCCAGAAUUUCUGGCGAUUACCAUCAAACCAUUCUGGCAGAUGUAUCAAGAAACAGCGCUCUGUGAGAUGUGUCUGGAGUGCGAUGUGUUUGGAAUGCAACUGUCUCACCUGCUCCUGCAAUAGCUGGUUCUCUGAGGUCAGCUGGAUGACCCUGGUCUGCAGGAGUUUGUUGACCACCUGAAGAUAUAUGAGAUACCUAAGUGGUGUAGGAGAGCCAUCAGAGAGGUAAAUCUUAGAGUUUUCAGUUUCCCAUUAUAGUCAGAUGUGAAUACUGCUCUAUUACACAAUUUCUCUGGUUAUUCAUAGAUUGCCUGUGUACUAUUAUGAUUCUAAUAUCUGGGGAAACAAAUAAUGUUUACAAUAGGCAGGUUGAUACAGUUCUGUCAAAGCAACAGCUUCAGGAGUGUCACCAGGUUAUGCAGCUGCCUCUCCAGUACAAGAGCAAGAAGACAUCUCCUGGAAAUAGAAAGGCAAUAUAUUUAAAACUAAUACAAGAAAAUACUGUUUACACAAUUCAUAAUUAACCUGUGGAACUCCCUUCACAGGUGCUCAGUAGGAUUUUUAAAAACAAGAAUUAGACCUUCACAUGGAUAAUGAGAGCAUCCACAGCUAUAUUUGAUAGGAUAAUACACAGACACACCCCAUAUAUAUAUAUAUAUGACAUGAACUGUCACGUUUCAGGCCUAAUUAAACUGAUUGUGGUUAGGAAGAACCUUUCCCUGUGAGUGGAUUAUUGUAUAAUUAUCAAUUAUUGGAUUAUUUGCACCUUGAUCUGAAUCAUUAGUCAGAAUCAGGCUACUGGACUAGAUGGCCAUUUGAUAUGACCCAGUAUGGUGAUUUUUUGGUUCUUAUAGUGUUUGCUGGUUUUGCUCUAGUGCUUCAUAUAAGGUAUU
Molecule: non-coding RNA, 2885 nt
Organism: Chrysemys picta bellii (western painted turtle)
Lineage: Eukaryota; Metazoa; Chordata; Testudines; Emydidae
Source: RefSeq, a predicted model, not a curated record